Molecule: long non-coding RNA, 1018 nt
Organism: Neolamprologus brichardi
Lineage: Eukaryota; Metazoa; Chordata; Actinopteri; Cichliformes; Cichlidae
Source: RefSeq, a predicted model, not a curated record
GCGGACAUUUUAACACAUGAAUAUUGUUUGUGUAAUGUAGUCAUAAUAUUUACGCAGGGACGCAAGAGGAGUGAGGUGGAAGCUCCUCCGAACUCUGAACACAGAAACUCGGACUGGCACUUGAGAUCGACUCCUGCAGGCACUUCUCCAUCGAAUGAUCGUGGAAUUGAAAAAAGACUCAAUCCCACACAGUGAGUUCGAGCCUGUUUGGUGCCCCACCCUGGAGUCCUGCACACCUCCCAGGGCCGGUCCAUCAUGGUCUGUCUAAUGCAGGCAAAGACAUCAAUAAUGAGAGCUGAAGCAGAAACCACAGCGGAGAACACAAAAGAGAGAGGGAGGGCACACACAGGCCGCAAUUGGCUCUGCUGCAGGCUAGAGUGGGCAGGCAUGCGGCUUUGGCCACAGGAAGCUGUGAAUUCUUUGGAGAAUGGAAGAUGUCUUAUGGAGAGACAUACUGGCCCUCCACCCACCCACUCACCACCUCAAAAUGACCCCUGACCCUUUUCAUGUGUUUAUAUCAGACCGUGGAAGUGAGAAAUAGUGAUGAGUCACUCUGGCUGUGUGUUUACACUCUGGAGUCACGCAAGGAAGGAAAUCAGCCACGGUCUGCUAAAAGUGGCGAGGUGAGAGAGAAUAGCUGCAGUCCCAAGUGCUGCAGUGAUUUACCUCAGAGCCAGAAUUUGCUUCGUGUCAUCUCUGCUGUGAAAACUUUCAACCUGCAGAAAAGCACAGUAGACCUUUGUGGAGGAAAAGGGCCAAAACAAGUAGUAGCCACUGAGGAUAGGUGUGCGUAUGAGAGAAAGAUACGGAAUAUUUCAGGAAACAUAACAGUUAGAAUAAGUAAAAUAAUUAUUUCAUCAGAAUGCAUGUCAUCGAGAUGUUACAGAGUUCUUAAUAUGUUGGACUUUUGUGUUUUGUUAGAGAUGACCACGUUUAAUUUGAUUGCACUUUAAUCAUUCGCACACUUCACUGUAUUUAAAUGAAAACCUACACUCGCACACAUUCCCUUUGUUUUUAA